GGUCUAGGUAUAUUUUGCCAACGGCCUGUCUCGAUUGGAAUACGUAAGUUCGAUGUCCUUAAUUUAGUUACCCACCCUCUAUUCUGUUCAGAUAGUCUGAUCAGAUAUUUUUCUAGUCCAAAGUCCUUUUUGAAUGUCCCAUAAAAUUGUCCCCGGGAUGAAUUUUCUAUAUCGCCAAACCAUGAGGUAAUAAACUGAUCACUCAAUAUACGAUCAAGAUAAUUUUUAUCACAAAAGCCAAUUUGGUUUAUGAAAAUAUAUCCUAGACCAGUGUUGUUAAAUAUUGAUUCGACAGAAUCAAUCCAUUUGAAAACAUAAUGGCCAUGAUUCUUCAAUGAUAACAUCAGCCUGUACAAAGAACUACUUAGUUU
RNAcentral lists this long non-coding RNA (371 nucleotides) under Mytilus galloprovincialis (Mediterranean mussel). The record is from RNAcentral. Lineage: Eukaryota; Metazoa; Mollusca; Bivalvia; Mytilida; Mytilidae.